CCCCCGAUAGCUCAGUUGGAAGAGCGUGGGACUGUAAUUGGAAAACAUGGCAUCCCGAGGUCAUUGGUUCGAUCCCGAUUUGGGGGA
Dentipellis sp. KUC8613 is the source of this 87-nucleotide non-coding RNA. The record is from the annotation of a GenBank genome assembly. Lineage: Eukaryota; Fungi; Basidiomycota; Agaricomycetes; Russulales; Hericiaceae.